UACGUAGGGGGCAAGCGUUGUCCGGAUUUAUUGGGCGUAAAGAGCGUGUAGGCGGCCAGAUAGGUCCGUUGUGAAAACUGGAGGCUCAACCUCCAGACGUCGACGGAAACCGUGUGGCUAGAGUCCGGAAGAGGAGAGUGGAAUUCCUGGUGUAGCGGUGAAAUGCGCAGAUAUCAGGAAGAACACCAAUGGCGAAGGCAGCUCUCUGGGACGGUACUGACGCUGAGACGCGAAAGCGUGGGGAGCGAACAGG
This 253-nucleotide ribosomal RNA is filed under the name uncultured bacterium. Its description in RNAcentral is "partial 16S ribosomal RNA". It matches the Rfam family "Bacterial small subunit ribosomal RNA", at positions 524 to 776 of the family's 1533-position model. The record is from RNAcentral.